This 400-nucleotide ribosomal RNA is filed under the name uncultured bacterium. RNAcentral's name for it is "bacterial SSU rRNA". It matches the Rfam family "Bacterial small subunit ribosomal RNA", at positions 96 to 507 of the family's 1533-position model. The record is from RNAcentral.
CGGCGGACGGGUGAGUAACGCGUGAGUAACCUGCCUUCAAGAGGGGGAGUAACACAGAGAAAUUUGUUGCUAAUAACGCAUGAAAUCACAGUACCGCAUGGUACAAUGAUCAAAGAUUUAUUCGCUUGAAGAUGGACUCGCGUCUGAUUAGCUAGUUGGUGGGGUAACGGGCUCACCAAGGCGACGAUCAGUAGCCGAACUGAGAGGUUGAUCGGCCACAUUGGGACGUGAGACACGGCCCACGACUCCUACGGGAGGGCAGCAGUGGGGAAUAUUGCGCAAUGGGGGCAACCCUGACGCAGCAACGCCGCGUUAAGGAUGAAGGCUUUCGGGUUGUAAACUUAUGUCGGGUGGGAAGAUAAUGACGGUACCACCGGAGAAAGUCACGGCUAACUACGUG